This is an RNA transcript of Scylla paramamosain (green mud crab), 2210 nucleotides long. It is a transcript of the gene named syntaxin-binding protein 5-like, with no coding region annotated. The transcript has 12 exons. The record is from RefSeq and is a predicted model, not a curated record. Lineage: Eukaryota; Metazoa; Arthropoda; Malacostraca; Decapoda; Portunidae.
ACCGACACCCAGAGAAAUGUAAACAAACGCAGAGUCAGACUUGAUAUACGGGUGAAUUUGUUGCUUUUUAGAGCGGCAAUGGAUCUGUACAUGCGUGAGGUGGCGAGGGGCGUGGCCAGGGGGCGGCUAGCAGCGUGUGCCACCAGGGAAAUGUGUAUGAACAUAAAAAAAGGCGCCUGUCAAGAAAGGCACAGAUGCAGGGUGGUGAGGCAGUGUUCAUCCCAGGGGCAGACCACACAGGGUCAGCAACACAGGUGGUGGUGGAGAGGCACCUGUGGGACGCCCAGGGGAACACCAGACACGACCUUGACAGACAGAAGAGUUUAUUGAUGAAGUGUGGAAGAAGAGGAGGAAGGAACAAUUACAUUCGACCAGCUGCGGCAUCUGGGGGCUUCACUUGACUGGGACAGCUGUGUUUACCAUGGAUACAGCGAGAGAAUGGCCUGUGUGUCUGUCUGUACAUCUUGACGGAAGCAUUUGUCCGUCUGUACGAUGCUGGGCUGGUGUACCGCAAGGAGGCUCUCGUCAACUGGUGCUGCAGCCUUCAGUCGGCCAUCUUGGACAUUGAAGUGGACCACCUGCACCUGACAGGACCCACGGAGCUGGCAGUCCCGGGGUACAGCAAACCGGUCAGCUUCAGAAAGAUGUGGGACUUCCCUUACAGACUGGCAGACUCAGGUCCUCACCUUGUUGUAGGAGAGCUGACAACAUGUACCAGCCAGCAGCAACUCCCAUGCUAACAGGCUUCUCCCCCGUGGGUAUGUAGCACCUCUGGAGUCGCUCGAUGAAGAAGAGGAUGCUGGCGAGGCCUGUCGUGUUAGCCGGGAUGCGCCGGUACAGAGCUGUGUCCGUUGGGGUUGUGUAGGCAAGCAUCUUCUUGGCAAGGUCCUCGUAGGUGGCCACAAACAGUUUACGGCUGUGGGAUGAGAACUUGUCUUGUGAAUGUGACGUUGGGAGGAGGGAAGCACAGGGAAGGAGGAGGACGAGGAGGAAGAGAGUGAAGAGUCACAAGAGGAGGAGGAAGGUGGAAAGAAAGAGGAAGGAGAGGAGGAGGAGGAGGAGGAGGAAGAUGGAGAAGGAAAGGAGAAAGAUAAGAAGGAAGGAAAUGCCGCAGAAGGAGAAGGUGAGAAUACUGAGGAAGAGGAAGAGAUGACCACCCUACAGUGUGCCUGGGAGUGGCUGGAUGUGGCUCGGGUCAUCUUUGACAAGCCAUGCUGCUGGGCAAGGGUGAGGGACCCAGGUCAUCAGGGGCGGUGUUCUCCCAAGCAAGGGAAGGAGAGGCAAGUGGAAGUGCUGCCUCGUCAUCCAAGUCUUCUGACGCCAAACCUCUCAUUUGUCAAGUGAGACGCAAGCAUAGGCAGGCCAGGCAUGGAUGUCCACCUGAGACACGAAGGAGACGCAGCUCUUGUGGCUCUAUCUUUCCUCAUCAAUGACGGAGCUCUCGUGUCCGCGACUGGGGAUGACAACCUACACAUGUGGUCAUUGUGGCAGAAAACACCACAAAUUUUGCAUUCUCUCAAGUUCCAGAGGGAGAGGAUCACCACCUUACAUGUCCCGUUCCAAAGCAAGUGGCUGUAUUUGGGAACCGAGCGAGGCAACAUUCAUAUCGUUAAAAUUGUGACUUCUGAACUGAGUGGUUACUGUAUAAACUGGAAUAAGGCCAUUGAAUUGUCACGCAAGACACACCCUGGCGCAGUGGUCCAUCUUAGUGAAAACCCUGUCGACCCUGGCAAGGUCAGCAAUCCCCAGGAACUCAUCAUCCACCACUUCUGUCUUGCAUGUUGUACCUGUGUGGGUAAAUAUGGUUUAUAGAGGGCUUGCCUAGUGUAGUCUUGCAGCUUCCCCUAUGCUCUUAUGUACAUGGCAAGAUAUGUUAGACUUUGUCCUUAAGGACUGCUUUGCCUUGGCCUCCCUGUGAGUUUGUCAGCCAGUCCAUAUACUGUACUAGGUAGAUAGAACUGAAGGUCAUCAUUGUUGCUUUCAAGCGUUAGGUCUUCUAAACUUCACCUUCGCUGCUUUCAAAAGGCUCUAGAUGAAGUUACACUGAUGCUUAUACAGGUCUAAUGCCAAAUUAACAAGAUUUCAAAUUCAUCAACAGGAGGAAAACCUUCUUGAGAACCCAUCUAUGUAGCCUCUGAAAAUGGUCAUGGUGAGAGAGCAGAGGAUUUCAGAAUACGGGCCAUGGUUUCACACGUGCAUUGCUACCUACC